RNAcentral lists this ribosomal RNA (468 nucleotides) under uncultured bacterium. RNAcentral's name for it is "partial 16S ribosomal RNA". It matches the Rfam family "Bacterial small subunit ribosomal RNA", at positions 28 to 507 of the family's 1533-position model. The record is from RNAcentral.
GAUGAACGCUGGCGGCGUGCUUAACACAUGCAAGUCGAACGGAAAGGCCCAAGCUUGCUUGGGUACUCGAGUGGCGAACGGGUGAGUAACACGUGGGUGAUCUGCCCUGCACUUCGGGAUAAACCUGGGAAACUGGGUCUAAUACCGGAUAGGACGAUGGUUUGGAUGCCAUUGUGGAAAGUUUUUUCGGUGUGGGAUGAGCUCGCGGCCUAUCAGCUUGUUGGUGGGGUAAUGGCCUACCAAGGCGUCGACGGGUAGCCGGCCUGAGAGGGUGUACGGCCACAUUGGGACUGAGAUACGGCCCAGACUCCUACGGGAGGCAGCAGUGGGGAAUAUUGCACAAUGGGCGCAAGCCUGAUGCAGCGACGCCGCGUGGGGGAUGACGGCCUUCGGGUUGUAAACUCCUUUCGCUAGGGACGAAGCGUUUUUGUGACGGUACCUGGAGAAGAAGCACCGGCUAACUACGUG